AAAGUGCAUAGGAAUUAGAUUUUCUUUUAAAUUCUUGCAUGUUAAUUCCAGGUUACAGCCAGAAAGGAGAGCCCAUUCUGUUCCCAAAUAGACCAAGCCUAUUUCAACAAAGAAAAGAACCACAAUUUUGUACAUAAUAACAAAGCAUGUCGGGAACACACUAAAAUUAACAUUAAAGAGCCACAUGGCUUUGCUCAAGUAGUUGGACCGUAGGGUGAGAAAAGAUGUAGGGAAGGACGGGCAGUUCACAAACUAUCAUAAAAGAAAAAGCAUAUUGAACCUGUUGAGAGAUACUGGAUGUG
RNAcentral lists this unclassified non-coding RNA (302 nucleotides) under Hevea brasiliensis (rubber tree). Lineage: Eukaryota; Viridiplantae; Streptophyta; Magnoliopsida; Malpighiales; Euphorbiaceae. The record is from RNAcentral.